UGGGGAAUUGUUCACAAUGGGCGCAAGCCUGAUGACGCAACGCCGCGUGGGGGAUGAAGGUCUUCGGAUCGUAAACCCCUGUCGAAUGGGACGAAAGACUCGCGAGUGAAUACUUCGCGAGAGUGACGGUACCGUUAAAGGAAGCCACGGCUAACUCUGUGCCAGCAGCCGCGGUAAUACAGAGGUGGCAAGCGUUGUUCGGAAUUACUGGGCGUAAAGGGCGCGUAGGCGGCCCUCUAAGUCAGACGUGAAAUCCCCCGGCUUAACCUGGGAACUGCGUCUGAUACUGGAGGGCUUGAGUAUGGGAGAGGGAUGUAGAAUUCCAGGUGUAGCGGUGAAAUGCGUAGAGACCGGGAAGAACACCAGUGGCGAAGGCGGCUACCUGGACAGGUACUGACGCCGAAGCGCGAAAGCUAGGGGAGCAAACAGGAUUAGAUACCCCCGUAGUCCCUGAGCGGGCUGGCAAGGCGCAU
This 473-nucleotide ribosomal RNA is filed under the name uncultured bacterium. RNAcentral's name for it is "bacterial SSU rRNA". It matches the Rfam family "Bacterial small subunit ribosomal RNA", at positions 355 to 825 of the family's 1533-position model. The record is from RNAcentral.